GACGAACCGAGCGAACGUUGUUCGGAAUAACUGGGCUUAAAGGGCGCGUAGGCGGGCUGUCAAGUCUGGGGUGAAAUCCCGCGGCUCAACCGUGGAACUGCCUCAGAUACCGACGGCCUCGAGGGAGAUAGGGGCGAGCGGAACUAAUGGUGGAGCGGUGAAAUGCGUUGAUAUCAUUAGGAACUCCGGUGGCGAAGGCGGCUCGCUGGAUCUUUUCUGACGCUGAGGCGCGAAAGCUAGGGGAGCAAACGGG
This 253-nucleotide ribosomal RNA is filed under the name uncultured bacterium. RNAcentral describes it as "partial 16S ribosomal RNA". It matches the Rfam family "Bacterial small subunit ribosomal RNA", at positions 524 to 776 of the family's 1533-position model. The record is from RNAcentral.